RNAcentral lists this long non-coding RNA (889 nucleotides) under Homo sapiens (human). RNAcentral describes it as "non-protein coding lnc-CPVL-4:2". The record is from RNAcentral. Lineage: Eukaryota; Metazoa; Chordata; Mammalia; Primates; Hominidae.
GGAGGCUGAGGCUGUAGGUGGGCUCCGCUGGGUAAAAGUUGCCGCAGCAGCUGUCCCUUGGCCCCAUCGCGAUUUAUUUUUCCCCCUUGCUUUCCGGGUCCCGGGAUCCCAAGUUUGUAACUAACGGGAGCGAAUCCACACCCGAGCAAAAUGUUUGCGAGUUUCAGGCGCCCUUAGUUGAAAGGCUGUAAUUAACAAGUCCGCUGUUUGCCAGCCAGGCGCCGUUGCAGGCGCUUUCUGUGGAUUGUCAUUUAUUUCUCACAGCAACCCUAGGAGAUGAAAUUGAAUCAUGGAAGAAUGCCUUUAUCUGAGGAGUCAUCACCACUAGGGAGCUAUGGAGGCUGUUAUCCUUGACAUCUGCAGCAGCCCUUCCAAGCUGUGGAGACCAGGUCAUCUGGAAUGCCCAUUUAUGUCAAUGGAAGAAAGAAAAAGGGGUCUCCUCCCAUCCUCACCACUGCAUUCUCCCACCAACCCUGCUCCUGUCCCACUUCCCACAACUCAGUUGUUGACAAUUUAACAGUGGGUUUCUGGAAACAGUGCUGCCUCCUUGAUGGUCUAACUAACUACCAGAGUUAUUCUAACAGCAGGAAUUUCAAGCCAGGUAAGGGGAGCUAUGUCAGGCUGCCAGAUGGUGGGGAAGACAGGUGUGGGUGAGCUGGCUUCAGACUAAAGGAAGAGGAGAUCAAGUGUUGGAAUCACAUUUGAGAAAAGGAGUCAAGUGAACUUCAUUACCCAUUAUAGAGGCCUGUUAUAUCCUUUAGUGCUAUUUGGACUUGGAUUGAACCUGUGACAAAUCCUUUUCUUAUGCUUCUUCCAUCCCUGCUUCCAUGUUAUAUCCUUUCCCCUUCUAAAAUGGUAAUAAUGAGAAAUAACUAUUACUAAUUACCCU